GCAGCCCUGGCGCGUUCCUGUGGAUUUAACUUGUUCAUCCUGGCCAGGUCUUCUUGAGUUACACCGGACGGCACAAAAACGAGGAGGCGCAAGCGAGGAGGAAGACGGCCCCCUAGUGGUUGUAGCCGGUUGUCCAUAAAGAGCCAGACGAUGAAAUGUCUCACUGCGCCCCCCCCCCCCCUUUCGAUCUCCUGUCCGCGGCAAAACCCAAGCUACACGGCGGGCGCCGUUUAUGCUCAGUGCUGUAAAGGGAAGCCAAGCGUGGCGACGACCGUGCAAGUUUACCGUCGGGUCUCCCCUCCUGGCGCGAUCAUCUUGGGCGAUUGCCCCGAUGGUGCCCGUCGUCGUUCCUGCCUUCUCCGCGCCUUGCAAGGGAGCCUCGCGGUUGCCUUCUGCUGAGUCAGAGCCGCGCUGCUUCGAACUCGGGGGACCGUGACAGGUAUGAUUAGGCAAAGGAGGGCAAAACUUCAGCCAUCUGAGACAGCCGACUGUGAAAACCAGCAGACAAGAUAUCUGCCUUUAGGACCUGUACUAGGGAUUUCCAAAUGCCAGGUGGUGGCCCAGACUCAGGAUUAAGCUAAGUAUAUGGAUAUGGAGAUAUGUGGAACUUCUCCAAGCAUCUGGAAGCUAAUCCUUUGGGACUAUGUGAAUAUUCCUCUCUGGCUUCUUGGCUUAUAUGCCCACUGACAGAACCACAUCUUCAGGGCAAAUAGACUUGACUACUUCAAGAUACUUUCGGAAAGCCAGAAUUCACACAAAAGAAAUUUGCAAGCCUGAUUAUGAAGCACAUUUAGAGCCUUUACCCAAACUUGACUCUUGCAGUCUAAGAGUGACAGCAAUUUGAGCCUACUCUGAUCCCUCACCUGUCCUUGCCAAUCCAUUCUGGUGCUGGUGGAAGGCUUCCUGGAGGAAGGUAGCAGAGAAACACUUUGAGCAGUUUUUGUUAAGUAUUUGCCCUUGUGAGACUGGCUUCACUUGGGAAUUAGGAGUCCUCAAUAUUUAUUAUUGCAAUAUUCUACAACUUUGCGUUUUGUGUAUUCUUGACAUAGAAAUAUUUUAAAACAUUGUAAACUGCUGGCUUCCCCUCCAUGGAGGAUAGGCUGUUAUUUUAGUCCUUCCUCGUGUAAUCAGAUCAAAUCUGUUAAACUUGUUCAAAGUUUUAACAUCCAAGAAUCUACCUAAAAACCUGCGUCAUGCAUAGGAUUCAAAAUAAUGGGGUACUUUGGUAAGGUUUUUUUCGUGGGGGGGAGGAAGUGUGCCCAGUCGAUUCGGCUUCAAUCCAGAUUUGGACAUUCCUUGACAAUCUGGUCCUUUCCUCUAUUUUUGUAAAGCGGGGGGGGGGGGGGGGGUUACUGAAGGAGACAGGUGUAAUUGGUCAGAUUUCAGGGGCUGGUAGCACUUCAAUGCUCCUUGCAGGGCCACUGGGAACUCGCAUGAUAUCCUCUGCAGUGGUUUCUUCCUUCUGCAGUUUGGCAUAUUGUUCAGGUUAUGGCCUGUUUUGGCUCACUGAGUUCAGUGGUUUUUAUAAAAAUAUUAUGAAAUGGACUGCUGUUUCCUCCAGAAAAUCCCCUAAUUCACUUGAUUCUUUUUUCAUGGAAGACCUACUAAUACUGGAUAUUUUAGCCUUCCUUAGCCAACUUCUUGUUUUAUUAAUAUUAUUAUUGGCAACCCUCCCUUUGACUUAAUUAUUUAGAUAUAUUGAUAAUUUCACCCAUACAAUCUCUUUUCUGUGUUGCCUUAUAUAUUUCUGUGAAAACCAUCACCAUUGUGUUUAUGUUGGUGCUUAAUCUCCCAGGAAGAGUUUUAUCCUCACCUUACAGCUUCAUGUGAAUUGGAAUAAACAUUCAAAUGAUUCAGA
Molecule: long non-coding RNA, 1858 nt
Organism: Thamnophis elegans (Western terrestrial garter snake)
Lineage: Eukaryota; Metazoa; Chordata; Lepidosauria; Squamata; Natricidae
Exons: 6
Source: RefSeq, a predicted model, not a curated record